GGUCCCGUAGCUCAACUGAAUAGAGUAUCUGACUACGGAUCAGAAGGUUAGGGGUUUGAAUCCCUUCGGGAUCA
This 74-nucleotide transfer RNA is filed under the name Sphingobacteriaceae bacterium. Its description in RNAcentral is "tRNA-Arg". It matches the Rfam family "tRNA". Rfam says of the family: Transfer RNA (tRNA) molecules are approximately 80 nucleotides in length. Lineage: Bacteria; Pseudomonadati; Bacteroidota; Sphingobacteriia; Sphingobacteriales; Sphingobacteriaceae. The record is from RNAcentral.